AUGUGUGUGUGUGUGUGUGUGUAUGUAUUGUAUUUUAACGUGUAUAAGGAACCCCCUAAUUUUGGGGGUUUAAAAUUUGGAGAAAAGGUUUUGUAAGGGACUAUAAUACUAUCCAAGUAUAAGAAACACCCAUAUUUUUUUAACCUAAUUUUUGACAAAAAAGGGUUCCUUAUAUAUGUUAAAAU
This is a long non-coding RNA of Octopus sinensis (East Asian common octopus), 185 nucleotides long. RefSeq lists it as uncharacterized. The transcript has 3 exons. The record is from RefSeq and is a predicted model, not a curated record. Lineage: Eukaryota; Metazoa; Mollusca; Cephalopoda; Octopoda; Octopodidae.